UAUCACUUGUAGUGCGCGGCUCAGUUCAAGAUAGUUCGCCAACGUACUUUUAUCAGUGUCACACCGUUAAAUUUCGUACUUUUUCCUCUAAAAAAAAGAUGCAGAUGUGCGGAUGUAAACAAUGAAAAUUCCAUUCAAGAGAAUACUGUCAUCCCGGCUGAUGUGUCUUGCGAAUUGUUUGAAUUUAACUCAAGGCAUCCGUUUCUUGUGGUCUUGAGUCCUGGGGAAGCAUUCCUCGAUUAAACGAUAUAAAGUAAAAAUUCAGAAAAAUUUUGUUUCUUAUUGAAUCGGAUGUGCUGUCAUCGCAUUUCUAUCACGACGAAGCGUGUAUAUCAAUACUGUUAUUUUGCAAAAAAGCAACCAGAAGGAUGAAAGGAUGUGAAAGGAGAAAAGCAGUUCCUGUAUUCUGCGGAAGUGGCCCACCAAAUUUAAUAUUUUUUUUUAUUUUAUUUUCCUGGAGGAAGCGCGAUGGCACAGCAUCCAUCGCCCAACGUGGGAAUCACCGUUCGAUGAGUCUUUUCUAUAUUCUAUUUCUUUUUUCUUGCGUUUUUCCU
Long non-coding RNA from Leptopilina heterotoma, 554 nucleotides. RefSeq lists it as uncharacterized. The transcript is spliced from 4 exons. NCBI's taxonomy places the organism in Eukaryota, Metazoa, Arthropoda, Insecta, Hymenoptera, Figitidae. The record is from RefSeq and is a predicted model, not a curated record.